GGCGAGGUAGCUCAGCUGGUUAGAGCGCAUGAUUCAUAAUCAUGAGGUCGUCGGAUCAUGCCCGACUCUCGCUA
RNAcentral lists this transfer RNA (74 nucleotides) under Bacteroidota bacterium. RNAcentral's name for it is "tRNA-Met". It matches the Rfam family "tRNA". Rfam says of the family: Transfer RNA (tRNA) molecules are approximately 80 nucleotides in length. The record is from RNAcentral. Lineage: Bacteria; Pseudomonadati; Bacteroidota.